RNAcentral lists this ribosomal RNA (204 nucleotides) under uncultured bacterium. RNAcentral describes it as "partial 16S ribosomal RNA". It matches the Rfam family "Bacterial small subunit ribosomal RNA", at positions 568 to 774 of the family's 1533-position model. The record is from RNAcentral.
UGCGUAGGCGGGUUUUUAAGUCAGAGGUGAAAUCCUGGAGCUCAACUCCAGAACUGCCUUUGAUACUGAGAAUCUUGAGUAUGGGAGAGGUGAGUGGAACUGCGAGUGUAGAGGUGAAAUUCGUAGAUAUUCGCAAGAACACCAGUGGCGAAGGCGGCUCACUGGCCCAUAACUGACGCUGAGGCAAAGACUGGGGAGCAAACA